GCUGGGCGUGGUGGUGCGUGCCUGUAGUCCCAGCUACUCAGGAGGCUGAGGCAGGAGAAUUGCUUGAACCAGGGAGCUGGAGGUUGAAGCGAGCCAAGAUGGCGCCAUUGUACUCCAGCCCGGGUGACAGAGCAAAACCCUGUCUCAA
Molecule: non-coding RNA, 148 nt
Filed under: Homo sapiens (human)
Lineage: Eukaryota; Metazoa; Chordata; Mammalia; Primates; Hominidae
Source: Rfam by way of RNAcentral